AUGUCACCUGACAUUCUGUUUCAUGAUGACAGGCAUUUGCAGAAAGAGUGGACCACCGACGGAAUGCUGCGUUUGCUGGUCGCUACCCUGCUGUGCCUCAGUUACCACAUAUUUAGGGCAUCGACUGUGUUUCUCGAAGAUGAUAUUCUGAUGGCUUCUAUCUGUUUCUUCUCAUGCAGCUUCCACCAUCUGUGGAAAACAAGAUCUGCUUGUUUUCCCCGAAGCCCCAUGUCUCCAGGGAUGGUGGCCCUGUUCACAGUGGGUUUUCCCAUUUAUACAAUAGAUGAACUGUAUGGAAUUGCACUGGAAGCAUUUCCGCAUCAGCCCGAUUUAAAAUAUUGAGUUUGAUAAGUUUUUGCCCCUCUUAAAAAUGUUUAUUUUCUCCCCAGUGUUAAGGAAGUGGUUAAGGGAGAUGUGAGAAUUCUAAUCUAUGAAAUUUGAAUUUCUGGGCUUCCACAUCAGCCACACUCACUCCCCAUCUCCUGUAACCGAUUUCUCUUCAAAGAAGAAACUCCUAAGUAUGGUUUCCUCUUCCUGUUACUACUACAGUCCCACCAUCAAGAACACACCUGCUUGGAGGGAGGCAGAGAAGCUCCAGGGAACUCCCACUGGCCCUGGCCAACCCCACUGCCCUUGCCCUCCAUCUGCAAAGAGAAAAAGGCCCAGCCUAUGGCCCUAGGCUGAGGUCAGUGCUGAGAGGCAAGGCCAGCGCUUCACCAGCACCAGGUCCAGGACAAACUCAUGCUUCCCUUCCCAGGGUGAGAAACUAUUGAUAUGUGAACCCCAACGGGGCCAAAUAUGUCUCUUCCUCAAGUGAAGGAAAAGACAUUUAUUUAUUUUGGGGAAACAGGGUCUCCCUCUGUUGCCCAGGCUGGAGUGUAGUGGUUCGAUCAUAGUUCACUGUAACCUGGAACUCAUGGGUUUAAGCGAUCCUCCCACCUCACCCUCCUGAGUACCUGGGACUACAGGCAAGAGCAACUGCACCUGGCAGACCUUUAUUUUAAAUAUGUGAGUUUCCUGUGAAAUAGCCACACUCAGUGAUGCUGUGCCGGGCUGUGCCAGGCCUCCUAACUCUUGGGGUCAAGCCACAAAUUAGAGAUACUCUGUGAGGAUCCGUUUCCAAAAAUUUCACUUUGUUUACAACAGUAACUCAGGCUGCUUUUGCCCCACACUUCACCAAAUUGUGUUGAUCAUAAAUGAAGUUAUACAGUCACUGCACGAUUUGUAGGAGCUGCAGGAGGUAGGGCUUAACAGAUUUGCUCUGUUCUGAGUGCCAUAUACGAUCAAAGAGUGAGAUGGCAUUUCUGGUUAAUAACAGAGCCUGAACCAAGAGUAAGUGAGACUCACUCUGCCCAUUAUGGUGUGUCCCCUUCAAGCAGACGCAUUGUCACAGCUAAAAAGUCAUUGUAACCUCAGGUGGUUUUGCAUUUGAGGAAUUUACGUGUGAUGCCUCAGCAUCGUCUGUCUCCUCAUUUCUGUAUCAAAUAUUCCUGUUUCCUGUACUCCUGUUUCUUUACCCAUCUGUCAUUCACACCAUCUGUAUCUUAUAUUUUCAUAACAAUUUGCCAUAGUUUGGAAAGGACAGGUUUUGCAUGUCUGUGUACUUGUGGACAUCAAGUGCUUGAUUUAACGCCCUUCCCUUAUGAGUGCAGUAGGAUCUGAGGGUAAAAUAGUGAUCCCUGUUCUUGGGCCUAGUGGAAGGUGAGGAAGGUUAUUCUUGUCUGUCACCUAUAUUCACAUGCCAGGCAGUGUGGCAAGGGGCAAACUCAUCACCAGCUCAAAGCAUCUGAGAAGUCAAAUGUUUGCUCUAUGUCUCCAAGAACAGAUGAUUGUGCCCAAAAGGGCAUGAUUCCUCCUACAUGAUAGUGCCAAACCCUUAAACAUUCAUUCCUUCAUUCAUUUAUAUAAAAUAGAAUCCAUCUAUAUCUGUUUUUGUAAUCAAGCAAUUUAUCCUAAGCAAAUGUCUACUUAAAGUACAAACAUAUUUGCAUGUUAAUGACCUCAAGGUAGUAUAGAUCCAUGAAUCGUGAUUUAUUUACUAGUACUCAAGUAUAGAAAUAUAAGUAAAUAUUCAUACUAUAAACAAGUAUCCUUGUACGUUUUCCUUUGCACGUUUCUCUGAUUUAAAAUGAUUCUUGGCCAGGUGCGGUGGCUCACGCCUGUAACCCCAGCACUUUGGGAGGCCGAGGCAGUGGAUCAUGUGAGGUCAGAAGUUGGAGACCAGCCUGACCAACAUGGUGAAACCCCGUCUCUACUAAAAAAAAUACAAAAUUAGCCAGGUGUGAUGCUACACGCCUGUAAUCCCAGCUACAUGGGAGACUGAGGCAGGAGAAUGGCUUGAACCCGGGAGGCAGAGGUUGCAGUAAGGCGAGAUCAUGCCAUUACACUCCAGCUAGGGCAACGGGAGCACAACUCCAUCUCAAAAAAAAAAAAAAGAUUCUUAAAAUUCAAGUGCUAGGUAAAAGCAUGUGGACAUUGAGACUUUGAUAUGUAUUAAAAACUGCACAGCCAAAGUGGACCGAUUUGCCUUUCCGGCAGUCUUAUGUGAGAAUAUACAGUCCAUGUACUUUACAGAGCUUUGUGUUAGCAUUCUUUGUAACCUUAGUACAUUUGGUAAAUGAAAAAUUAUAUCGGAUAAUUCAAAAGUUGACUUCCUUAUAUAAUAAUGUAAGGAAGUAACAAUUAUCUCAUUUUCUUUGUUCUCCAUUUUUAUAUACACUAUUGUUAUUGCCUCUACCGUGAAAAUUUUUGCUUUUGAUAAAGAUAACUUUCUAAAAUAUUAAUAUAGUUGAUGGUUAAUAUAGUUAAUAAUUAUUUUGAUAUUUUAUCUAUAUUGUCAAAAACAUUUCCCAAUACUUUUAUAUUUUAAUUUAAUUCAUGGGAAUUUUACUGUAAUAUUAAUGCUUUUUUUGUCAAAUCUUUAAUUUUGUCAUUCUUUUACUUAUGUUUUCUGAAUUUGAUGUCAUGACCUCUACAAUGUAUGUUUACAAAAAUAUUUACCGAUAUAUUUUAAUAUCUGUUGUUGUAGUUUGUUAUGUGGAACUCAUUAAUAUUUUGAGAUUAACUUGGGAAUGCACAAAGCACAAAUGAUAACAUGAGUUUUAAUUUGCAAACAACUAACAUGCAUCAACUCCUGAAUAAACCAUUAUUUUCUUAUUGCA
This 3161-nucleotide long non-coding RNA is filed under the name Piliocolobus tephrosceles (Ugandan red Colobus). Its description in RNAcentral is "lncRNA (ENSPTEG00000008564.1)". The record is from RNAcentral. Lineage: Eukaryota; Metazoa; Chordata; Mammalia; Primates; Cercopithecidae.